RNAcentral lists this ribosomal RNA (393 nucleotides) under uncultured bacterium. RNAcentral's name for it is "partial 16S ribosomal RNA". It matches the Rfam family "Bacterial small subunit ribosomal RNA", at positions 523 to 918 of the family's 1533-position model. The record is from RNAcentral.
AUACGGAGGAUGCGAGCGUUAUCCGGAUUUAUUGGGUUUAAAGGGAGCGUAGGUGGGAUAUUAAGUCAGCUGUGAAAGUUUGGGGCUCAACCUUAAAAUUGCAGUUGAUACUGGUUUCCUUGAGUACGGUACAGGUGGGCGGAAUUCGUGGUGUAGCGGUGAAAUGCUUAGAUAUCACGAAGAACUCCGAUCGCGAAGGCAGCUCACCGGGCCGGAACUGACACUGAUGCUCGAAAGUGCGGGGAUCAAACAGGAUUAGAUACCCUGGUAGUCCGCACAGUAAACGAUGAAUACUCGCUGUUUGCGAUACACUGUAAGCGGCCAAGCGAAAGCGUUAAGUAUUCCACCUGGGGAGUACGCCGGCAACGGUGAAACUCAAAUGAAUUGACGGGG